AUACGUAGGGUGCGAGCGUUAAUCGGAAUUACUGGGCGUAAAGCGUGCGCAGGCGGUUUUGUAAGUCAGAUGUGAAAUCCCCGGGCUUAACCUGGGAACUGCGUUUGAAACUGCAAGGCUAGAGUGUGGCAGAGGGGGGUGGAAUUCCGCGUGUAGCAGUGAAAUGCGUAGAGAUAUGGAGGAACACCAAUGGCGAAGGCAGCCCCUGGGUCAACACUGACGCUCAGGCACGAAAGCAUGGGGAGCAAACAGGAUUAGAUACCCCAGUAGUCC
This 273-nucleotide ribosomal RNA is filed under the name uncultured bacterium. RNAcentral describes it as "partial 16S ribosomal RNA". It matches the Rfam family "Bacterial small subunit ribosomal RNA", at positions 523 to 796 of the family's 1533-position model. The record is from RNAcentral.